This 1023-nucleotide ribosomal RNA is filed under the name Enhydrobacter aerosaccus. RNAcentral's name for it is "bacterial SSU rRNA". It matches the Rfam family "Bacterial small subunit ribosomal RNA", at positions 75 to 1079 of the family's 1533-position model. Lineage: Bacteria; Pseudomonadati; Pseudomonadota; Alphaproteobacteria; Hyphomicrobiales. The record is from RNAcentral.
UGGCUCAGGCUGGUGCACCAUCCAUAUGCUAGUUAUGAUUAGUGGCGGACGGGUGAGUAACAUUUAGGAAUCUGCCUAGUAGUGGGGGAUAGCUCGGGGAAACUCGAAUUAAUACCGCAUACGACCUACGGGUGAAAGGGGGCGCAAGCUCUUGCUAUUAGAUGAGCCUAAAUCAGAUUAGCUAGUUGGUGGGGUAAAGGCCCACCAAGGCGACGAUCUGUAACUGGUCUGAGAGGAUGAUCAGUCACACCGGAACUGAGACACGGUCCGGACUCCUACGGGAGGCAGCAGUGGGGAAUAUUGGACAAUGGGGGCAACCCUGAUCCAGCCAUGCCGCGUGUGUGAAGAAGGCCUUUUGGUUGUAAAGCACUUUAAGCAGGGAGGAGAGGCUAAUGGUUAAUACCCAUUAGAUUAGACGUUACCUGCAGAAUAAGCACCGGCUAACUCUGUGCCAGCAGCCGCGGUAAUACAGAGGGUGCGAGCGUUAAUCGGAAUUACUGGGCGUAAAGCGAGUGUAGGUGGCUCAUUAAGUCACAUGUGAAAUCCCCGGGCUUAACCUGGGAACUGCAUGUGAUACUGGUGGUGCUAGAAUAUGUGAGAGGGAAGUAGAAUUCCAGGUGUAGCGGUGAAAUGCGUAGAGAUCUGGAGGAAUACCGAUGGCGAAGGCAGCUUCCUGGCAUAAUAUUGACACUGAGAUUCGAAAGCGUGGGUAGCAAACAGGAUUAGAUACCCUGGUAGUCCACGCCGUAAACGAUGUCUACUAGCCGUUGGGGUCCUUGAGACUUUAGUGGCGCAGUUAACGCGAUAAGUAGACCGCCUGGGGAGUACGGCCGCAAGGUUAAAACUCAAAUGAAUUGACGGGGGCCCGCACAAGCGGUGGAGCAUGUGGUUUAAUUCGAUGCAACGCGAAGAACCUUACCUGGUCUUGACAUAGUGAGAAUCCUGCAGAGAUGCGGGAGUGCCUUCGGAAUUCACAUACAGGUGCUGCAUGGCUGUCGUCAGCUCGUGUCGUGAGAUGUUGGG